UACAUGGGGUGCAAACGUUGCUCGGAAUUAUUGGGCGUAAAGCGCGCGUAGGCGGUUACUCAAGUCGGAUGUGAAAGCCCUCGGCUUAACUGAGGAAGUGCACCCGAAACUGAGUAGCUAGAGUACUAAAGAGGGUCGCGGAAUUCCCGGUGUAGAGGUGAAAUUCGUAGAUAUCGGGAGGAACACCGGUGGCGAAGGCGGCGACCUGGGUAGAUACUGACGCUGAGGCGCGAAAGCGUGGGGAGCAACAGG
Molecule: ribosomal RNA, 252 nt
Filed under: uncultured bacterium
Lineage: Bacteria
Description: partial 16S ribosomal RNA
Rfam family: Bacterial small subunit ribosomal RNA
Source: RNAcentral